This 2945-nucleotide long non-coding RNA is filed under the name Vigna radiata. Its description in RNAcentral is "long non-coding RNA (VRAD_LNC002519)". Lineage: Eukaryota; Viridiplantae; Streptophyta; Magnoliopsida; Fabales; Fabaceae. The record is from RNAcentral.
GUGUGAUGUACGAUGUUGCACGAGUUGAAUAAAAAUGGACUGAGUACAUGUCAACUUAGUAGUUAGACAUGUACUCGUCAAAGGACGAGACCUAUAAUGGUAUGGUCGAUGGGUACUCGACUAUAUACAGUACUCCAUCCCUUAGGUUUUACAUGUGAUGUGUUAAAGACUUGUGAAAAGCUUUAACAAAUCAAUCUUCAACUUUUACUUAUCGAUUAGGACAUCGAUACUUGAUAGUCGUCUUGCAAAGAAAAUUUUUAACUUUAGUCAUAACUUUAAAAGUUUAAUAGUCCUCUAGUGUCGAGAAGCAUAGUGACAAAAAUGUUAUAAUGAUUAGGUUUCAGGUAUGAUGUGGAGAGGGAGUAUAGAGGUAUGAGACUUAUGUGUUGCACACAAAUCGAUGUAAUGCAAGGAAGGGACAAAGUCGUGACCCUUAGUCUUUAGAUCUGGAGAGAUGUAAUGAUUGAGGGGGAAGAGGUGCGAAAGUGAAGGGUCAUGAAUUUUGUUUUACAUAUGAGCCUUAUUUGAGCACCAAGUUUUGAGAUAUUGCUUUUCUGUUGAUAUCUUUGUGAAAAGAGUUUGUCAUUUCAAAAACGUGUUACUCAAAAGUCGAUUACUUAAAAAGGUAUGUCUUGCAAUGGGUCAAAUAUGGAUUCUAGAGAAAAGUCAGACAGUAGUAGUGAUGAUAGUAGUCAAAUUUCAAUGUCAUCAGACGCUUCAUCAUCCCAUACCAUGGGGGUGGAGAUAGAAGUGAUUAUUGAGAACAUGAAAGACCUAACUAAAGAGCAUGUCGAGUCCCGACUACCUAGAAGGGAUGGAUAUGAAUGAGUACAUCCUCUAGCUAGAAUCAAGUUUUCCAAAUUUAGGUGGUUUAGAAUUUUGAAUUCCUGGUUGAACAUCAUCCAUGUGUUUGAGAGAGGAGUUUCCGAGGGCACAAUCCCAUUUUUAGGAUGAACGUCGUUUAUAAUGCUUAUCAUGGACGAGAAGAGUAUGAAGAGGAAUUCUCUUUGGUGUAUAUAAUUUUUUUCUUCUUUGUAAUAGUUUUUCUUUUUUUUUUUUUUUGUUAAAAGGCCGAGUAGUGAGACCGAAGACUUGUAAUUUGAAUUGAAAUGAAGGAACAAAACUUCUUGCCAUCUUCUUGUUUAUUUUAUGUUUGCAUAACUUGUAAUUUUCCUGUAAACUUUGGAUAACAGAUUUACGUAUGAAUGAGUAGUAUAUUCCUUUUUGUUGCAAAGUUGUCUUGUUAUAAAAGAAGUAUGAACUUUGUUUAUUGUUGAUGUUCAACCAGGACUACCUAGGUAGGCGGCAGGAAACUGGAUGGAAGGUUCAACCAGGACUGUUUAGUAGGCGACAUGGAACUGUGUGAAAGGUUUAACAAAGUCGUCUAGGUAGGUGACAAGAACCUACAUAAAAGGUUCAACUAGGAUUGCCUGGGUAAGUAACAAAAAAUUGCAUGUAAGGUUCAACUAGGAUUGCCUAGAUAAGUGAUAGGGAACUGCAUAAGAGGUUCGACCAGGAUCGCCUAGGUAGGUUUGGUAGAGAACUCCUUAAUUGCUUGCAAAAUAUUCAAAGAAAAGUUUAUUAUUGAAGGUAGAAACCCUUUAUUUUGUUGAUGAAAUGUCUUGUUAAAACCUUUUCAACCAAACCCCUUCUUUGGGAAAAAAGACUGAGUAAGGAAAGAGUACACUCAAGGUUACAAGCAAUCAACUAUCUAUAAGUUCCUAGCUGAAAUAAAACUUUAAAUGUGACAGAAGACGAAUUUCCUUCAUCAUGCCUUACGAAACACUUAAGGUGGUCGACAUGUAUUAGUUUUUUAACCUUAUCCCUAAGCGUAAUGCAUUCAUUUAUGGUGUGACCAUUAUUGUGAUGGUACUUGCAGUAUUUGUUCAUGUCAGCCUUCGACAGGUUCUGAGAUUUUCUUGAUAGCGGUAUGAAAUCUAACUUGCAAUAGUUGUUCAUUUAUGCAUUCAGGUUUCUAAUCUUCAUGGGAAAUUUACUAAACCUUUCAAUAAAAGCUCCAACAGACUGCCUAUUCUCUUGUCUAACAUUAGGGAAUGCAAGAGAGGUAAAGUGAUUAUGGUAGCUUGUGGUGAACUGUGUUAUAAAGUACGACACCAACAUGUUGAAAUUGUCAAUAGACAUGACGACAUCAUCAGUAGAGUAUAAACUAACAUGGGUGAUGUAGACGACAACAUGCUCAUGCAGAUCGGUGUUACCAUCAUACUAGUCUAAGGUAAGAACCUUCCACUACUUAGGAAAUGGGUAUCAAUAAUGUCGUCUGUGAAGGAAUGUCGGUGGCUCCCUCCUACAGUUGAGCAAUGAUUUGUCUUAAGAGUAGGAUUGUACUCGCUUUCCUCUUCAUUACCACGAACAUGGCUACUGCAAGUGGAUUUUUCUGCAUUAAGAUCGUGUUAUCAAGGGUUUCUUUCUCAUUUCCCUUGUCAAUCGUUAUUUUAGCUUUGACCCUCCUAUUCAGCCUUAUGUUUUCCUCCCUCGAGGCAUCCAUCUCCUUAGCACUUCUUUUGUUAAACUUAGUAAAUUCCUGAUGUGUCUCUACUUAAGCUUCCAAGAUAAUGGGUAUGUUAGUCGAUGAGGGACCAACUUCUCUUUCUCCAGCUAUCCUACUUCUUAUGAAUACCAUAAACACUUUUCUUCACAUAAUACAAGUCAGUCUCAUAGUGGAUGCCAAUUGCUCUUACAUAAUCGAGUAAGUAUCCUACGAAGACUUUCACAAACUCUCCAAAUACUUCUAACCUUCAAACUUUGGAGUAGUCAUCCUUCUCUUGAGUACCCAUUCUCCUUGCACUAGAUAGGGUGUGGACCUACAAAAGACACUAUGAUACUCAAGUUAGUCUCUCACGUCAGCAAGGAAUAAAUGCGUAAUUAAUAAAAAUGUAAUCAAUAUACCUCGUAAAAUACACUAUUUAUACUUACCUAGAUGGGCC